Molecule: ribosomal RNA, 497 nt
Filed under: uncultured bacterium
Lineage: Bacteria
Description: partial 16S ribosomal RNA
Rfam family: Bacterial small subunit ribosomal RNA
Source: RNAcentral
GAUGAACGCUGGCGGCAUGCCUAAUACAUGCAAGUCGAGCGAACGGACGAGAAGCCUGCUUCUCUGAUGUUAGCGGCGGACGGGUGAGUAACACGUGGAUAACCUACCUAUAAGACUGGGAUAACUUCGGGAAACCGGAGCUAAUACCGGAUAAUAUUUUGAACCGCAUGGUUCAAAAGUGAAAGACGGUCUUGCUGUCACUUAUAGAUGGAUCCGCGCUGCAUUAGCUAGUUGGUAAGGUAACGGCUUACCAAGGCAACGAUGCAUAGCCGACCUGAGAGGGUGAUCGGCCACACUGGAACUGAGACACGGUCCAGACUCCUACGGGAGGCAGCAGUAGGGAAUCGUCCGCAAUGGGCGAAAGCCUGACGGAGCAACGCCGCGUGAGUGAUGAAGGUCUUCGGAUCGUAAAACUCUGUUAUUAGGGAAGAACAUAUGUGUAAGUAACUGUGCACAUCUUGACGGUACCUAAUCAGAAAGCCACGGCUAACUACGUG